GACGAACGCUGGCGGCGUGCUUAACACAUGCAAGUCGAACGAAGUGGCGAACGGGUGAGUAACGCGUAAUCAACCUGCCCUUCAGAGGGGGAAAACAGUUGGAAACGACUGCUAAUACCGCAUACUGAAGGAGGGGAUUGUGUCUGAUUAGCUAGUCGGCGGGGUAACGGCCCACAACGGCGAUGAUCAGUAGCCGGUCUUAGCGGAUGAACGGCCACAUUGGGACUGAGACACGGCCCAGACUCCUACGGGAGGCAGCGGUGGGGAAUCUUCCGCAAUGGACGAAAGUCUGACGGAGCAACGCCGCGUGAGUGAAGAAGGUUUGCGGAUCGUAAAACUCUGUGGUUAGAGAAGCGGUAUCUAACCAGAAAGCCACGGCUAACUACGUGCCAGCAGCCGCGGUAAUUC
This 408-nucleotide ribosomal RNA is filed under the name uncultured bacterium. RNAcentral describes it as "partial 16S ribosomal RNA". It matches the Rfam family "Bacterial small subunit ribosomal RNA", at positions 28 to 526 of the family's 1533-position model. The record is from RNAcentral.